CUACGGGGGGCAGCAGUGAGGAAUAUUGCACAAUGGAGGAAACUCUGAUGCAGCAACGCCGCGUGGAGGAUGACGCAUUUCUGUGUGUAAACUCCUUUUAUAUGUCAAGAAAAUGACGGUAGCAUAUGAAUAAGCACCGGCUAACUCCGUGCCAGCAGCCGCGGUAAUACGGAGGGUGCAAGCGUUACUCGGAAUCACUGGGCGUAAAGGACGCGUAGGCGGGAUAUCAAGUCAGGUGUGAAAUCCUACAGCUUAACUGUAGAACUGCACUUGAAACUGGUAACCUAGAGUAUGGGAGGGGGAGAUGGAAUUAGUGGUGUAGGGGUAAAAUCCGUAGAUAUCACUAGGAAUACCUAAAGCGAAGGCGAUCUCCUGGAACAUAACUGACGCCAAGGCGUGAAAGCGUGGGGAGCAAACAGGAUUAGAUACCCGAGUAGUC
Molecule: ribosomal RNA, 439 nt
Filed under: uncultured bacterium
Lineage: Bacteria
Description: partial 16S ribosomal RNA
Rfam family: Bacterial small subunit ribosomal RNA
Source: RNAcentral